GACGAACGCUGGCGGCGUGCUUAACACAUGCAAGUCGAGCGGAAAGGCCCUUCGGGGUCCUCGAGCGGCGAACGGGUGAGUAACGCGUGAGUAACCUGCCCCAGACUUUGGGAUAACCCUCGGAAACGGGGGCUAAUACCGGAUACGACACAGCUUCGCAUGGGGUCUGUGUGGAAAGUUUUUCGGUUUGGGAUGGGCUCGCGGCCUAUCAGCUUGUUGGUGGGGUGAUGGCCUACCAAGGCGACGACGGGUAGCCGGCCUGAGAGGGCGACCGGCCACACUGGGACUGAGACACGGCCCAGACUCCUACGGGAGGCAGCAGUGGGGAAUAUUGCACAAUGGGCGGAAGCCUGAUGCAGCGACGCCGCGUGAGGGAUGACGGCCUUCGGGUUGUAAACCUCUUUCAGCAGGGACGAAGCGUAAGUGACGGUACCUGCAGAAGAAGCGCCGGCCAACUACGUG
This 462-nucleotide ribosomal RNA is filed under the name uncultured bacterium. Its description in RNAcentral is "partial 16S ribosomal RNA". It matches the Rfam family "Bacterial small subunit ribosomal RNA", at positions 28 to 507 of the family's 1533-position model. The record is from RNAcentral.